Molecule: ribosomal RNA, 696 nt
Filed under: uncultured bacterium
Lineage: Bacteria
Description: bacterial SSU rRNA
Rfam family: Bacterial small subunit ribosomal RNA
Source: RNAcentral
UAACGCGUGGGUAACCUGCCUUGCACUGGGGGAUAACACUUAGAAAUAGGUGCUAAUACCGCAUAACAGUAGGAGACGCAUGUCUUUUACUUGAAAACUCCGGUGGUGUAAGAUGGACCCGCGUCUGAUUAGCUUGUUGGCGGGGUAACGGCCCACCAAGGCAACGAUCAGUAGCCGGCCUGAGAGGGUGAACGGCCACAUUGGGACUGAGACACGGCCCAAACUCCUACGGGAGGCAGCAGUGGGGAAUAUUGGACAAUGGGGGGAACCCUGAUCCAGCGACGCCGCGUGAGUGAAGAAGUAUUUCGGUAUGUAAAGCUCUAUCAGCAGGGAAGAAAGAAAUGACGGUACCUGACUAAGAAGCCCCGGCUAACUACGUGCCAGCAGCCGCGGUAAUACGUAGGGGGCAAGCGUUAUCCGGAUUUACUGGGUGUAAAGGGAGCGUAGACGGCGGUGCAAGUCUGAAGUGAAAGGCGGGGGCCCAACCCCCGGACUGCUUUGGAAACUGUAUGGCUGGAGUGCAGGAGAGGUAAGUGGAAUUCCUAGUGUAGCGGUGAAAUGCGUAGAUAUUAGGAGGAACACCAGUGGCGAAGGCGGCUUACUGGACUGUAACUGACGUUGAGGCUCGAAAGCGUGGGGAGCAAACAGGAUUAGAUACCCUGGUAGUCCACGCCGUAAACGAUGAUCACCAGGUGU